This is a long non-coding RNA of Neodiprion virginianus, 951 nucleotides long. RefSeq lists it as uncharacterized. The record is from RefSeq and is a predicted model, not a curated record. Lineage: Eukaryota; Metazoa; Arthropoda; Insecta; Hymenoptera; Diprionidae. The transcript is spliced from 2 exons.
CACCAUUUUCUGACGAACCAAAAUUUUGGGAAGUUUUAAGCACAUAUGAAAAAUGGCGGCCAAGACGGAAGCGAGUGAACGAAUUCUGUUGUGUAAAGUCACUAGCACUCACCUAAUCCGUAGACUAAACAAGAGUGAGAAUAGAAUAUAACAGAUCGAAAAAUACUUACACUGUAGGGUAGUGUGGAAACGUGAAGGUGACCUCAUAAAACGUAUCUAAGGUUCACACUUGUGUACGUAAAGGUUAGAACGAUGCAGAGAAAGGUCCGCAGCGAUCAAUAAAGACAGGUCACCAUUACGUACGCUGCUUUGGGCAGCGCGGCUCUUCGACAACGCAAUUUGUGUCUUUGCGAAUGUGAUUUUCGUUAUUUGCAUGACGUUAUCACGAGUUUGGUGUCGACUUUGAUCAGUGGAAAAAUGGUAAAAGCGGUGCGACAAUUAAUAUGAAAACUGAAAGUCAUCAAAGACAAUUUGCUUUCAGUUCCUCACGAGUUCCAAGUGCAAUCCUAAUUUCACUUCUUCGAUUGCAAAGAAUCUUUGAGAUUGAAUCUCGAAUCUUUGAUUAUUGGUUUGAAAAUUUUUUGGGCACAUUGAAGACAAGUCAAGAUCGUUCAAUGAAUUUUGAGGUUUCUGUGAGAAGCAAGUGAUGCAGUUUAAAGAGCAAGAAGAGGUCGACCUCCGAAGUUACGGAGGGAGAUGAAACGGUUCGAACUGAAAUCGGCUGCGCCAAACUGCUGCGACCUCCCUUACAAGUGAUAGGUGGAAUUUCGAAAGUAGGACGACGCAGUCUGACUGCAUCGCGAGGAUUCAGUUACCUACGGGUACAACAGAGAUCAGAUACGGCGUUAGGUGACGAUUGUUAAAUUUCCUUAUGGCGAUAAUGGCAAUGAAGAACGUUGGCAUCCAGGGUUUUCGUAAACAACAGUUUUGGAGUUAAUUUGAAAUAUGAAA